GAUGAGCGCUAGCGGCAGGCUUAAUACAUGCAAGUCGAGGGGCAUCAAGGUACACGAAAGUGUAUUGUUGGCGACCGGCGGACGGGUGAGUAAUAGGUAGGUAACCUACCUCAUACUGAGGCAUAGCUGGGAGAAAUUCCAGGUAAUUCCUCAUGAGGUUAUAUGACACAUGUGAUAUAAUCAAAGGUAUCGCAAGGUACUGGUAUGAGAUGGGCUUACUGACCAUUAGCUAGUUGGUGAGAUAAGAGCUCACCAAGGCGAAGAUGGUUAGGGGUUUGAGAGAGAGAUCCCCCACAUUGGAACUGAGAUACGGUCCAGACUCCUACGGGAGGCAGCAGUAGGGAAUAUUGGGCAAUGGGCGGAAGCCUGACCCAGCCAUGCCGCGUGAAGGAAGACGGCCUUAUGGGUUGUAAACUUCUUUACUAUGCGACUAACUAGAUUUACGAGAUAAUUCUAUAGAAUGUAGCAUAGCAAAAGCACC
Molecule: ribosomal RNA, 481 nt
Filed under: uncultured bacterium
Lineage: Bacteria
Description: bacterial SSU rRNA
Rfam family: Bacterial small subunit ribosomal RNA
Source: RNAcentral